This 542-nucleotide ribosomal RNA is filed under the name Hanseniaspora sp. Its description in RNAcentral is "partial 26S ribosomal RNA". It matches the Rfam family "Eukaryotic large subunit ribosomal RNA", at positions 90 to 649 of the family's 3401-position model. The record is from RNAcentral. Lineage: Eukaryota; Fungi; Ascomycota; Saccharomycetes; Saccharomycodales; Saccharomycodaceae.
CGAGUGANCGGCAACAGCUCAAAUUUGAAAUCUGGCACUUUCGUUGUCCGAGUUGUUAUUUGUAGAAGUUUUUUUGGGGCUGGCCCUUGUUUUUGUUCCUUGGAACACGACGUCAUAGAGGGUGAGAAUCCCGGGUGGCGAGGAUCCCACCCCUUUGUNAAACGCUUUCAAAAAGUCAAGUUGUUUGGGAAUGCACCUCUAAUGGGGUGGUAAAUUCUUCCUAAAGCUAAAAAUUGGCAAGAGACCGAUAGCGAACAAUUACAGGGAUGGAAAAAUAAAAAGAACUUUGAAAAAAAAGUGAAAAACUACGUGAAAUUGUGAAAAGGGAAGGGCAUUUGAUCAAACAUGUUGUUUGGACCCCCUGCUCUCCUUGUGGGUGCAGGCCACUCUUUUCACUGGGCCAACAUUUCUUUUGGCAGCUAGAUGAAUCGCCAAGGACGUCUCUGCCCUCGGGGAGGGGUACUGCCUGGUGGAGUACUGCUAGCCGGCACUGAUGACUGCCUCUUUUGACAAGGAUGUUGGCAUAAUGGUUAAAUGCCGCC